This 2928-nucleotide ribosomal RNA is filed under the name Staphylococcus argenteus. RNAcentral describes it as "bacterial LSU rRNA". It matches the Rfam family "Bacterial large subunit ribosomal RNA". Lineage: Bacteria; Bacillati; Bacillota; Bacilli; Caryophanales; Staphylococcaceae. The record is from RNAcentral.
UUAAGUUAUUAAGGGCGCACGGUGGAUGCCUUGGCACUAGAAGCCGAUGAAGGACGUUACUAACGACGAUAUGCUUUGGGGAGCUGUAAGUAAGCUUUGAUCCAGAGAUUUCCGAAUGGGGAAACCCAACAUGAGUUAUGUCAUGUUAUCGAUAUGUGAAUACAUAGCAUAUCAGAAGGCACACCCGGAGAACUGAAACAUCUUAGUACCCGGAGGAAGAGAAAGAAAAUUCGAUUCCCUUAGUAGCGGCGAGCGAAACGGGAAGAGCCCAAACCAACAAGCUUGCUUGUUGGGGUUGUAGGACACUCUAUACGGAGUUACAAAGGACGACAUUAGACGAAUCAUCUGGAAAGAUGAAUCAAAGAAGGUAAUAAUCCUGUAGUCGAAAAUGUUGUCUCUCUUGAGUGGAUCCUGAGUACGACGGAGCACGUGAAAUUCCGUCGGAAUCUGGGAGGACCAUCUCCUAAGGCUAAAUACUCUCUAGUGACCGAUAGUGAACCAGUACCGUGAGGGAAAGGUGAAAAGCACCCCGGAAGGGGAGUGAAAUAGAACCUGAAACCGUGUGCUUACAAGUAGUCAGAGCCCGUUAAUGGGUGAUGGCGUGCCUUUUGUAGAAUGAACCGGCGAGUUACGAUUUGAUGCAAGGUUAAGCAGUAAAUGUGGAGCCGUAGCGAAAGCGAGUCUGAAUAGGGCGUUUAGUAUUUGGUCGUAGACCCGAAACCAGGUGAUCUACCCUUGGUCAGGUUGAAGUUCAGGUAACACUGAAUGGAGGACCGAACCGACUUACGUUGAAAAGUGAGCGGAUGAACUGAGGGUAGCGGAGAAAUUCCAAUCGAACCUGGAGAUAGCUGGUUCUCUCCGAAAUAGCUUUAGGGCUAGCCUCAAGUGAUGAUUAUUGGAGGUAGAGCACUGUUUGGACGAGGGGCCCCUCUCGGGUUACCGAAUUCAGACAAACUCCGAAUGCCAAUUAAUUUAACUUGGGAGUCAGAACAUGGGUGAUAAGGUCCGUGUUCGAAAGGGAAACAGCCCAGACCACCAGCUAAGGUCCCAAAAUAUAUGUUAAGUGGAAAAGGAUGUGGCGUUGCCCAGACAACUAGGAUGUUGGCUUAGAAGCAGCCAUCAUUUAAAGAGUGCGUAAUAGCUCACUAGUCGAGUGACACUGCGCCGAAAAUGUACCGGGGCUAAACAUAUUACCGAAGCUGUGGAUUGUCCUUUGGACAAUGGUAGGAGAGCGUUCUAAGGGCGUUGAAGCAUGAUCGNNNNNNNNAAGGACAUGUGGAGCGCUUAGAAGUGAGAAUGCCGGUGUGAGUAGCGAAAGACGGGUGAGAAUCCCGUCCACCGAUUGACUAAGGUUUCCAGAGGAAGGCUCGUCCGCUCUGGGUUAGUCGGGUCCUAAGCUGAGGCCGACAGGCGUAGGCGAUGGAUAACAGGUUGAUAUUCCUGUACCACCUAUAAUCGUUUUAAUCGAUGGGGGGACGCAGUAGGAUAGGCGAAGCGUGCGAUUGGAUUGCACGUCUAAGCAGUAAGGCUGAGUAUUAGGCAAAUCCGGUACUCAUUAAGGCUGAGCUGUGAUGGGGAGAAGACAUUGUGUCUUCGAGUCGUUGAUUUCACACUGCCGAGAAAAGCCUCUAGAUAGAAAAUAGGUGCCCGUACCGCAAACCGACACAGGUAGUCAAGAUGAGAAUUCUAAGGUGAGCGAGCGAACUCUCGUUAAGGAACUCGGCAAAAUGACCCCGUAACUUCGGGAGAAGGGGUGCUCUUUAGGGUUAACGCCCAGAAGAGCCGCAGUGAAUAGGCCCAAGCGACUGUUUAUCAAAAACACAGGUCUCUGCUAAACCGUAAGGUGAUGUAUAGGGGCUGACGCCUGCCCGGUGCUGGAAGGUUAAGAGGAGUGGUUAGCUUCUGCGAAGCUACGAAUCGAAGCCCCAGUAAACGGCGGCCGUAACUAUAACGGUCCUAAGGUAGCGAAAUUCCUUGUCGGGUAAGUUCCGACCCGCACGAAAGGCGUAACGAUUUGGGCACUGUCUCAACGAGAGACUCGGUGAAAUCAUAGUACCUGUGAAGAUGCAGGUUACCCGCGACAGGACGGAAAGACCCCGUGGAGCUUUACUGUAGCCUGAUAUUGAAAUUCGGCACAGCUUGUACAGGAUAGGUAGGAGCCUUUGAAACGUGAGCGCUAGCUUACGUGGAGGCGCUGGUGGGAUACUACCCUAGCUGUGUUGGCUUUCUAACCCGCACCACUUAUCGUGGUGGGAGACAGUGUCAGGCGGGCAGUUUGACUGGGGCGGUCGCCUCCUAAAAGGUAACGGAGGCGCUCAAAGGUUCCCUCAGAAUGGUUGGAAAUCAUUCAUAGAGUGUAAAGGCAUAAGGGAGCUUGACUGCGAGACCUACAAGUCGAGCAGGGUCGAAAGACGGACUUAGUGAUCCGGUGGUUCCGCAUGGAAGGGCCAUCGCUCAACGGAUAAAAGCUACCCCGGGGAUAACAGGCUUAUCUCCCCCAAGAGUUCACAUCGACGGGGAGGUUUGGCACCUCGAUGUCGGCUCAUCGCAUCCUGGGGCUGUAGUCGGUCCCAAGGGUUGGGCUGUUCGCCCAUUAAAGCGGUACGCGAGCUGGGUUCAGAACGUCGUGAGACAGUUCGGUCCCUAUCCGUCGUGGGCGUAGGAAAUUUGAGAGGAGCUGUCCUUAGUACGAGAGGACCGGGAUGGACAUACCUCUGGUGUACCAGUUGUCGUGCCAACGGCAUAGCUGGGUAGCUAUGUGUGGACGGGAUAAGUGCUGAAAGCAUCUAAGCAUGAAGCCCCCCUCAAGAUGAGAUUUCCCAACUUCGGUUAUAAGAUCCCUCAAAGAUGAUGAGGUUAAUAGGUUCGAGGUGGAAGCAUGGUGACAUGUGGAGCUGACGAAUACUAAUCGAUCGAAGACUUAAUCAA